GCCUGGAUAGCUCAGUUGGUUAAAGCAUGGUGCUGAUAAAGCCAAGGUUGAGCGUUUGAUCCCCGUACAGGACA
Non-coding RNA from Podarcis lilfordi (Lilford's wall lizard), 74 nucleotides. Lineage: Eukaryota; Metazoa; Chordata; Lepidosauria; Squamata; Lacertidae. The record is from the annotation of a GenBank genome assembly.